Molecule: ribosomal RNA, 444 nt
Filed under: uncultured bacterium
Lineage: Bacteria
Description: bacterial SSU rRNA
Rfam family: Bacterial small subunit ribosomal RNA
Source: RNAcentral
CCCAGACUCCUACGGGAGGCAGCAGUAAGGGAUAUUGGUCAAUGGGGGAAACCCUGAACCAGCAACGCCGCGUGAGGGAAGACGGUUUUCGGAUUGUAAACCUCUGUCCUCUGUGAAGAUGAUGACGGUAGCAGAGGAGGAAGCUCCGGCUAACUCCGUGCCAGCAGCCGCGGUAAUACGGAGGAUGCGAGCGUUAUCCGGAUUUAUUGGGUUUAAAGGGUGCGCAGGCGGCCUGUUAAGUCAGCGGUAAAAGCCGGGGGCUCAACCCCGGCGAGCCGUUGAAACUGGCGGGCUGGAGUUGGAGAGAAGUACGCGGAAUGCGCGGUGUAGCGGUGAAAUGCUUAGAUAUCGCGCAGAACCCCGAUUGCGAAGGCAGCGUACCGGCUCCACACUGACGCUGAGGCACGAAAGCGUGGGUAUCGAACAGGAUUAGAUACCCGGGUA